CACGUAGGGGACGAGCGUUGUCCGGAUUCAUUGGGCGUAAAGCGCGCGUAGGCGGCUUGUCACGUCGGAUGUGAAAGCCCGGGGCUUAACCCCGGGUCUGCAUUCGAUACGGGCAGGCUAGAGUGUGGUAGGGGAGAUCGGAAUUCCUGGUGUAGCGGUGAAAUGCGCAGAUAUCAGGAGGAACACCGGUGGCGAAGGCGGAUCUCUGGGCCAUUACUGACGCUGAGGAGCGAAAGCGUGGGGAGCGAACAGG
Molecule: ribosomal RNA, 253 nt
Filed under: uncultured bacterium
Lineage: Bacteria
Description: partial 16S ribosomal RNA
Rfam family: Bacterial small subunit ribosomal RNA
Source: RNAcentral